AACAAAUUCACCAUAAAAAUUUUUAGAGGAUUUCCAAAUAAGAGAGGUGAGGCUACAUCUCAGACAAGAACAUUUAAUUAGGCAUACAUGUCAUAAACCAAAAUGUUCUGCAUCAUAAAUGAGUAAUAUGGAUGAAAAGCAGGUGGGGCAGCAGAGGAAAGGCCACAGAGAGAUCAAAGAGAGAUGCAGGAAAAAACAAACAAACAAACUAAGCAGAUAGUAUCAAGUUGAUUUCGAACUGAACCUUUUACGCUUCAAAGCAAUGAAAAGAAGAGUUUUCUCCUUGUAUUUUGAUUCCAGCUGGUGAGAAUGGUCGGUUAGUUCUUUAAUUAACCGAUCAAAUAUUUCACCAACAAUUUCUCUUCCAAAGUGUUUGCUGAACAAUUCUUCCAUUGCAGCUCUUACAUGAACCACCCAUUCUCGCAUAUUAACUGGACCAUCAAGCCAAGGUGCAGGGUCUGUCAACUCCAUUCUCUCAAUGCUGAAACAAGCAUUUCUUUCUAUGAGCUUUGUCAUCUCCCCUGGAGAAACAGUAUAAAAUGGCAAGUUGAAAGAGUCUACUUGAGCUUCACUGAUUAAUCCCUGUAGGAAAGAUUGGUUAUUCAGAUUUACCCAAUGAAUGACAAGGUGAUAGUCACUUAGUUGUCUUCUGAGAAAUAGUUAAUAAUUACCAAGCGAGAAAUUAUCUAGAUUUAUAUGAUAAAGCAAGUAUGAACCCAUAUGCAUGUGUCGAGCAGAGUUUAGUGCAAACUACAUGGAAGUUCAAUUGAGAUUUUCUAUCCCUGCUGCAUCAUACAAACAGUCACUGAUUAGGUGCCCAUCCAGCAUAACAGGGUAGCCUCUUUCAACGUAAAAUGGCAACACCAUUGCUGAUGUUUUUAGUUUGUGAUUGUAAGCAACAAACUUAAUACCUGAUACUUCAGUUAUUUAUAACCAAUUUGAAAUGUUGUUAAUAGCAAAAGACUUAAAUCUAUUACCUUCUUCCUAGACAGACUUCUCAAACCACAUCAAUAUUUUGUCUAUAAUAUUAAAAUGAUUACAAAUGUAAACUAUUAUAGCAAAGCUAAUCCUGGAAAUACAAGCUGAUCACCACCUUACCUCUUUCACCAUAUUCAAAAGGCUCAAUGUCAUACAUUCAAACAGCAAGCUAUUAGGGAGCUCAGAAAAAGGCAUUCCACUGGGGAUACCUAGUGUGACUAUUAUCAUCAUCCCCCCAGUCAAAAGUUCUUCAGAUCUAGCAUUCAGAAAGUUUUCCAUGGCCUUGGCAAACUGAGAUGAAUAUGCAUUGACUACUUCAUUUGGAGCAUUUGCGUAGUGAACCCUUCCUUUGUUCCAUGCAUGAGAAUUCUCAUCUAACAACUCUUCUGGCACCUUAGACAGCCAAUGGAGUGACAUAGAGCAAUGCACAAAAUGGAGAGAGGAAUUGGGAAAUAAUCUGUCAUAGAAAGAACCCGGCACCCCAGCUGCAAAGUACUGCCUUUCUUGUGUAAGAGAGGUGAACAAGGUGUUGAAGUCAUUCAUUGCUUGAUCAUUAAAGAAAACUUGGAAUUCUGGCAUGUGAGAUGCAAAGCCCUGAUAGUAAGAGUUCCUGUAAUAGCUGUAAACGCAAUUUCCACCAACCAUUGCAGGUGAAUCUGUCUCCCAUUUCGGCAUCUUUGCCUUCGAGUGUUUACUUGUUUUCUCUGUAGAUGCAAAGAAAGAGUUCCAAGUAGUGAACACAUGAGCAUGAGCAUGCGCAUGAGGGCGUGAGGCUAUAUAACAGUUGAUCCAAUCCUCUACAAGUAACCCCAGAGAGAGAGAGAAAGAGCAAAAGGUUUGAACAGAAUUACAAUAAACAAAUUGGAGGACUCAAAAGCAACCAAAAGCAUUUACCACUCCCUGGAAACAGAAUGGAUCUUGCAUAUUAACAAUGGCUAAAUUGAUUAUUGAUGGAACCUUUUUGCAGCGCAUUUGAUAAGAUUCCCUGACUUCUCUGUCCCUAAACACUAAAGUGUCACUAUAAAGAACCUGUUAGUCGCAAGCAAUGACGCUAUGUUCUCAAACUUCUCAUAAUUACACAUUAUUUGGCUCCAAGAUUAGCGAAACAAGAAUAUUCCUUACCGUUAGCCUUAACCUGUACACACCCGGACAUGCAUCAGCGUCAACGCUUCAUUUAAACAAAACAACAAACACCUCACGAGCAGCCAAAACAAUUCGGCAACGUUGAGGGGCGCGUCCGGAUAAACGAAAGCUCCCAUCAUAGAAGUUUAGGAGAAAACAAUUCGCCUUGAUGAGUGAAAAAUUCCUGUUCUAUGAUACGCAAAUAUGCGAAUCCCAGUUAGAUGAGGAAGGGUCUAAGCAAAAAUUUCUCCCAGUUACAUACAACCUAUCAUAUAGUAAUUUUCAUAGAAAAAGUCAAGGGCCGAUAAGAGUAAGUUGAUUGACCUUCCUCCAAAUAUAAGAAUCCCAAAGUUGUAGAGGAAUUGAAUUGAAGGAACAUUGAUAGUUAGAGGUUAAGAUCAUGAGAGCUUGAAGCAAGGAAGAGGAAGGGGAGGCAUAACAUCAGGCUUUGAUCAUGGCAGCGAUUUGAAUUAUUGGAGAAGAGGAGACCGCGAGAAGCAUGAGGCAAGGGAAGGCAAGAAAGAUGAUGCAGCCCAUCCUUCAAAGCGAUAGGAGGCGACUGGCGACGUCAAAGAAGGAAAGAGCAGAUUGCAGACUAGAUGCAAGAGGAGAUUUGGG
RNAcentral lists this unclassified non-coding RNA (2718 nucleotides) under Hevea brasiliensis (rubber tree). The record is from RNAcentral. Lineage: Eukaryota; Viridiplantae; Streptophyta; Magnoliopsida; Malpighiales; Euphorbiaceae.